UGGGAAAGCUCUUACUGGCUGGAGAGUUCAUCAACAAGCAUUUGGGCCGCCAAUCUGGGUCGAAAACUGCAAUUGCUUUCAGCCGGAAAACGGCAGAUGCUUCAAAGAUAUAAGGAACAUCACAUUAACAUAAUAUUAUACUCUAUAAACGAUAAAGCAAGGGGGAAAUUUUGUUUUCUCCUCUUGCAUUCUGAUGUGUCUAGUAAGACUACCAUGUUUUAUACGAAAAGAAACUCAAAAUGAAGAGCCAUUCAUUGUCUUCAGAAUCAUUGUAUUGAGAUCAGUUAUAUGCAUAUACAAAAAGUAUUAGUACAAGGAUAGAAGAAAAAAGGACAUUGUCCUCAGAAUCAUUCUAUUGAUUGAGAUCAGUUGUAAGAAGUAUAGUACAAGAAUAGAAGAGAAAAGAACAGCUGCAUAAUGAUAUAGCCACGCCACUAUGUUAUGCUCCUCGGUGGUGUAUUUGGUUUUUCUUUCUUUUUCUGCUUCUUUCGCAAUCUGUUUCUGGUAAUGCAGGUGGUAACAUUUCUCUGCUCUGACUUGCAUCAAAGAAGCUGGGAAUUGGUUCCAAUUGCAUGGUUUCACAUUCAGUUAAUUUAAGUUCUUGUUGCUGACUUUGUAGUAGUUUUGCCAAUUGAUGGAAUACUAUUAAUGGUCCCCAAACUUGUACAAAUUGAUUUUCAACUUUAUAAUUUUGUCUUCAAAUGGGUCCUCACCCAACACCGGUAGGGGUAAUUUUCACCUUGGUCCGCCAUGAAGUUUCAUUUAAUCUCAAUUUCCUUUAGGUUUGUAUAUUAGGCACUAGAGUAUUUCUGGCUGUGCCAAUGCCCGAUUUAUUGUGUAAAAAAUAUUGAAAAAUUUCUUGCCAUGGCUUGUGCCCACACAAAUUGCUUUUAGCAACAUGGUUGUGCGCAUAUGAAAGAUCUUCACUAAUGAGCAACCUGGGCGCAUUGAUUUCUAUAAGCAUAAACAAGAGCCUCAAUUCUACAUGCAUAAAGCUCAUAUAUGAAGAAUAGAUAGGAAUAAACAUCUUCGUGGCAUGCAAAUAAAAGAAUCAUAAGUUAAGGAAAUUUGUUUUUGGAACCAAAGGUAAAGUUGAGGUACAUGUCAUCAAUUACAAAUUUGUACACCAAAAAUUUUCAACCUUCAAGUUUAUUAUCAUUACACUUGCCUUUUUAUUAAGAUAUAAACAUAAUUAAAUCAAGAUCGACUAUAAUCCAAUGAUGAAAUGGCCAAAGCUAUUCUAAUGCAUAGAAGAGGGUCACUUUUUUGCAAGUGUAGAGCAACAGCCCUUAAGAAAUUGAGUAAAUCUUAUAUAUACUGACAGUGUAUAUACUAUCACUGUUCGAUUCAUGAUAUGUUCAAAUUCAAAUCUUGUAUAGUUGUCAUUCAUCCAACGCUGAUAGUGUAUACACUGUCAGUGUAGGAAAGAUUAAUCCUUAGAAAUUAUACAAAACUGGGAGGAAAAUCACUAAGAAGCUGUCUUGCACUUUAGCAUUAUGCAUGGCAUCUUGUUAAUUUGAAUAUUUAUGGACUCUGCUGUUCAAGCUUGCUGGCGCUGAUGGCUAAUGGUUUCUGCAAAUACUUGCUAUAAAAUGACUAUUUGCAAUUGAAGACAUCUAAAGUGUAAAGGAAAACAUUGGUGCUCACAAAUUGAUAAUAGCAGAAAAGCAAGCAAUUGACACAAAAUAAUGAGAACCAGAAAAGGCAGGAGAAAAUUUGAUAAACUAAAUAUGGAAUACCGUAAAGGACUACUUAUUUGAAUUACUGCUUCUGUGUCAUCAAGCAUUAAGACAGCACUUUCUUGCCCCAAAACAAUAUCAAGACUUUGUGGUGUCUCUGUGUGCAAUCUCUUUGUGCAAUCACUCUGGAGUUGGAAUAGACAUCUCCAGGGUCAAGCAAUUUUGCCAUUUGCAAUGCAUAUGCAUGUGCACCAUCAUGUAUAUGUACAUCUCAACCAAAAAGCAGCUUAUUAUCUCAAGUUUGACACAAACAUUUCAUCAAAUGCUUGAUAACCUCAACAGGUGAUCCAACAGAAACAAAUGGACAUUUUAUCCUCCAAAGAUCCGAAUAGAAUUGGAUAAGACAAUGGCCAUAGAAAACCGGCAGCAUACACAACAAACAUUCAGAAAAUCAAAGAUACUAACCUGUAUGUAAUAAAUCCCAAUCUUUCAAUCAAAAGAGAGAUGCUGAUAUAACCUCUAGUAUCUUAGGAUACCAGUGUAUGUCAAAAUUCCAGUUCAUUCCAGUUGGAAACUCAGAGAUGGUGUGCAUGACAUCGAAGACAUUUCAAUUAUAUAGUAUGUAUUGGCGGAUGUCUUAACCAACACAGAGACACACCUAGAGGGAGACAUGGAGCAUGCUUUGUGAGAUAAGGUAGUAAGGAGGAAGAUGGUUGAGAAGUAGAAACAUUUUCUGUUCCAUUUAUAUCAUGAAGUUGGGUGACCAUAAGAUACUAGUUUUCAUUGAACCUGUUUUCACAGGAGGAUGUCCUAUUCAAGGGUGAUCUAAGAUUGAGGAUAGCUCUUGAUAUGAGAAGUGUGGAUUUCAGGGACACAUGUUGAAUUGAUGGAAGGCGAACCCUGAGAGUGAGUAUAAACGUCAUCAAUAUUAAAGGUUAAUAGCAGCUGGCCAUGACUUGAUUGAUCUAAGGUCGUUAGAUGAGAACCAUUUGAUCCACACAUGGAUGUGACAUUGGGGGAGGAUAAAUGCUUAGAAACAGGCAUAACUCCACUACUAUAAUUUUCCUGAUCCUUCCUAAUCAUGUUACUAUUUGGAUUUGUCAUAGAGUGGAGGUUGAGACCAAUUAGAUGAGUGUUAUUUCCUGAGGUCUGAAUAUCUGCGUAUGCACCGUCAGAAUGCAUAUGCAUUGCAUUAGCAGGAUGAGCCUGAGAAAACAGCAGGUUUCUUGAUAACUCUUCACAUUGUUCUAUUGUGUGAGAGCUGUUUGGGUUCCUUUUUAAUGAAGUCUCAGCAUUGUAACAUUCAUCAAACCAUUUAUCUACUAAACUAAACCUUUAACUUGGAUUCCUUUUUCUUUUCAUCUUAAUGACAGUAGCAGUAAGGAAAUAUGACUAAUUACAGCUAAUGAGAGAGUAAAACUAAGUUAUAUAUAUAUAUAUAUAUAUAUAUAUAUAUAUAUAUAUAUAUAUAUAUAUAUGAAGUCCAAACUGCUAGAUACAACCAGUUAAACAAGAGAUACAAAGGUGACACUAAUUGUAUGAAUUUGUCGUAUUCGACAAAUGACGAAUCAGAGUGAUUAAAUACUAAAAGGCAGAAUGUGAAGAAGAAAAGUGAUAUGAAGCAUACAUUCAGCAGACUUUGACGGUUAAAUAGCAGAACAUAGAACCUGUGAACUCACAACCUAUGAACUUAAUACUCAUAAGGGAACUCAUGGUUGCAGAACUUAGAACCCCAGUUACAGCAAACAGAAAAUUAUCCAAUCAGAACCCAGCAGACUUUCGUGGUUAAAUACCAGAACGUAGAACCUGUGAACUUACAACCUACGAACUUAAUACUCAUAAGGGAACUCAUGGCUACAGAACUUAGAACCCCAGUUACAGAACUCCAAUUACAGCGAAGACAAAAUUAUCCAAUCUGUUGAAUACUUGUAGGGCAAACAAUUAGCCAAAGAGAAACAGUAAUUACCUUUAGCAGGAAAGCUUGCAAAUGUAAAAGUAGAAGGACCGUGAAGAUGAGCAGUAUUACUUCCUAAUGCAUAAGGACACAAACUUUGUGAGUCGUAACUCUUGAUCAUUUGCCAACUGGCCAACAAACUAAUAAAUAGAAGCAACUGAACAAGAUAUACAAAGUCACAAACUAAUUGUUUGAAUUUAUCAUAUUCAACUAAUAAGACUGAUUAAAUACUAAAACAAAAUGCAAGGAAAAAAAACAUUCACUGGAAAAGUGAUAAGUGAAACCAAACGAAGUUACAACUAAAAAACUAUCACUAACUUAUGAAACACAAUAAAAGUUUUGGAGAAAAAUUGCAGCACACAUUGAAGGACUGAAGAGAGUGACCUGAAAUUGAAACAACUGCUGAAUAGAAGUCUGUGAACGCUAAAUAAGAAGUUCUUAUGCAUCAAUUCUUUCACAGUGCAAUUAAAUCCCUGUAGAAAUUUGGCAACCAAAAUAAAAAGUAUACAGAGUAUCCAAUCUCUUUAAUACUCGUAGAGAAAAAAAGGGUUAAAAACAAAAAAGUCUCGUAUGGUAUACCUAAUACACAGAAAAUCCCUCCAUGAUUUCAAAACAUACAAAACGACACCUCAUGUUUCGAACUAAAUUAUAAACUAACAAAAUUCGUUAAAUUUAACGAAAAUGACGGUCUCGGCCUUUAAACUUACUGGAUUCCGUUAAGUUUACUAGAUUCUGUUAAGUUUAAUGUAAGUUUACUGGAUUCUGUUAAAUUUAACGAAUUCUGUUAGUUUAUAAUUUAGUUCAAAACAUGAAGUGUUGUUUUGUAUGUUUUGAAAUCACGGGGGGUUUUUUGUGUAUUAGGUAUACCACAUGGGACUUUUUUGUUUUUAACCAGAAAAAAAUUAAACACAAAAAAUGAGUAGUUACCUUUAGUAUGAAUGGUUGCAGAGGAAAAGAAGGAAGAAGCGUGGAGUUUUUUGUGAGCAGUAUUUGUGUUCCUGAUGUAUAAACAUACAAACUUUAUGAGUCGUUAAAGAUUUUUCUUUCACUCUUGAUAAUUUGCCAACUGGCCAACAAAAAGGAAAAUAAAAGGACAAACCUAUAUCCCUAACAAUGCUAUAAGCCAUCAUAAACACAAUAGAUAACGACACAAAGUUAAUGAAUUAUUAGAGAUUUUUCUUUCAAUCUUGAUAAUUUCUCAAAUGGGGAACAAAAAGGAAGACAAAAGGACAAACUUAUAUCCUAGUAAUGAAUAGAAAUCAUACUUCAUACUUAACUCUUUCUGGAACAAUCCCACGGUUGGAUAUGGAUGAGCAGCCAUAAUUUAGGGAAAAAGCGUCAAAUUAUUGGCCAAGUGGUGGAGGAGUUCAAUUGGUAUUUUUGUUCCUCUAAACUAAAAGGAAAAGAAAGCUAUCAUUUAGGGGAAAAAAUCAUCAAGUUGUUGGCCAACUGUUGGAGGAGUUGAAGCGGUACUUUUCUUCAUUCGAACCAGAAAGAAAACUAAGGAGAAAGAAAGGAAUCGAAAACAGAGAGAGAGCAAUAGAGGAGAAAAAGUAGAGCUGAACAUGAAGACAAUGAAAUCUACAAACAUAUUUGUUGUGGUUCAAAGAUGAGAUAAAGUGCGAUUCGGAAUCACAAGGGCAAGCGUAAUUUAGGCAAAAAACUCAUCAAAUUUUUGACCAUUUGUUGCAGUAGCUCAUCUGCUUUCAUGCUUCUUCUGAAGCAAAAAUAAAACGAAAAAGAUGACACUACUAAAGAGAUGACAAGAAUGGUACUAAAGAGAUGACAAGAAUGGUAAGCAAAAAGUCAGAAAUAACCCUAAACUGUUGGCUACUAUUUUAAGAGCUUUUUUCUCCACUGGACAGAGUAGUAAUUUUAUCUAAAAAGACAAAAAUGUCCUCAAGGAUGACGUACUGUUUGGAGAAAUACUCAACAUUCCCAAGGCAUAAACGGAAACAAAAUUUUCUCCCUCCCUCCUGCCUUCACGUGGAUCAACCGAACAUACAAUCCUUAGAUUUUUCUAUAUGUGUAAGAAAUCUAUUGAAUACUUGUAAGGAAAAAAAUUAGCCAAAGAGAAACAAUAAUUACCUUUAGCAGGAAACUUACAGAUGUAAAAGUAGAAGGAUCGUGAAACUAAGCAGUAGUGCUUCCUAAUGUAUAAGGACACAAACUUUAUGAGUUAUUAGAGAUACUUCUGUAACUCUUGAUCAUUUGCUAACUGGCCAACAAACUAGUAAAUAGAAGCAACUGAACAAGAUACAAAAGUCACAAACUAAUUGUUUGAACUUAUCAUAUUCAACUAAUGUGACCAAUUAAAUACUAAAAGGCAAAAUGCAAGGAAAAAAAACAUUCACUCGAUAAGUGAUAAGUGAAACCAAAUGAACUUACAACUGAAAAACUAUCACUAACGUAUGAAACAUAAUAAAAGUUAGAGAGAAAAAUUACAGCACAUACUGAAGGACUGAAGAGAGUGACCUGAAAUUGAAACAACUGUUAAAUGGAAGUUUGUAAAUGCUAAAUAAGAAACUCUUCUGCACCAAUUCUUUCACAGUGCAAUUAAACCCUGCAGAAAUUUGGCAAUCAAAAUAAAAAGUAUACAGAUUAUCCAAUCUCUUUAAUACUUGUAGCGGAAAAAAUAAGACACAGAAAAAGAGUAGUUACUUUUAGUAGGAAAGGUUGCAGAGGAAAAGGAGGAAGAAGAGUAGAAUUUUUUGUGAGCAGUAUUUGUGUUCCUAAUGUAUGAACACACAAAUUUUAUGAGUUGUUAAAGAUUUUUCUUUCACUCUUGAUAAUUUGCCAACUAGCCGACAAAAAUUAAAAAAAAAAGACAAACCAAUAUCCCUAGCAAUAUUAUUAGCCAUUAUGAACACAAUAGAUAACAACACAAAAUUGAUGAAUUGUUAGAGAUUUUUCUUUCAAUCUUGAUAAUUUCUCAACUAGGGAACAAAAAAGGAAAAUAAAAGGACAAAUCUAUGUCCCUAGUAAUGUAUAGAAAUCAUACUUCAUACUUGACUCUUCAAGAACAAUCCCACAGUUGGGAUAUGGAUGAGCAACCAUAAUUUAAGGGAAAAAAUCGUCAAAUUGUUGACCAAAUAGUGGAGGAGUUCAAUUGGUAUUUUUGUUCCUCUGAACUAGAAGGAAAAAAAAGCCAACAUUUAGGGGAAAAAAUUGUCAAGUUGUCGACCAACUGUUGGAGGAGUUGAAGUCGUACUUUUAUUCAUCCGAAUUAGAAAGAAAACGAAGGAACAAGAAAGGAAUCGGAAACACAGAGAGAGAGAGAGAGCAACGGAGGAGAAAAAGUAGAGCUAAACAUGAAGACAAUGAAAUCUGCAAAAUAUUUGUUGUGGUUCAAAGAUGAGAUAAAGUGCGGUUCAGAAUCACAAGCGCAAGCAUAAUUUAGGCGAAAAACUCAUCAAAUUUUGAUCGUUUGUAGCAAUAGCUCAGCUGCUAUGAUACUUUUUCUAAAGCAGAAAGAAAAGAAGUGAAAACACUACCAAAGAGAGGACAAGAAUGGUAGGCAAAAAGUCAGAAAUACCCCUAAAUUGUUGCUACUAUUUUUAGAGCUUUUUUCUCCCACUGAACAGAGUAGUAAUUUUAUCUAAAAAGACAAAAAUGUCCUCGAGAAUGAUGUACUAUUUAGAGAAGUAAUCAACAUUCCCAGGGCAUAAACGGAAGCAAAAUUUUCUCCCUCCCCUCUUGGCGCCAUGUGGAUCAACCUGAGCAUUGAAUCCUUAGAUUUUUCUAUAUAUGUAAGAAAUCUAUUGAAUACUCAUAGGGGAAAAAAUUAGUCAAAGGGAAACAGUAAUUACCUUUAGUGAGAUGUAAAACUAGAAGGACCGUGAAACUGAGUAGUAUUGCUUCCUAAUGUAUAAGGACACAAACUUUGUAAGUUAUUAGAGAUAGUUCUGUAACUCUUGGUCAUUUGCCAACUGGCCAACAAACUAGUAAAUGGAAGCAGCUGAACAAGAUAUACAAAGCCACAAACUAAUUGUUUGAACUUUUCAUAUUCAACUAAUGAGACCAAUUAAAUGCUAAAAGGUAAAAUGCAAGGAAAAAAAAAAUUGACUCGAUAAGUGAUAAGUGAAACCAAACAAACUUACAACUGAAAAACUAUCACUAACGUAUGAAACAUAAUAAAAGUUAGAGAGAAAAAUUGCAGCACAUACUGAAGGACUGAAGAGAGUGACCUGAAAUUGAAACAACUGUUAAAUGGAAGUUUGUAAACGCUAAAUAAGAAACUCUUCUGCACCAAUUCUUUCACAGUGCAAUUAAACCCCUGCAGAAAUUUGGCAAUCAAAAUAAAAAGUAUAUAGAUUAUCCAAUCUCUUUAUUAGACAUAGAAAAUGAGUAGUUACCUUUAGUAGGAAAGGUUGCAGAAGAAAAGGAGGAAAAAAUGUGGAAUUUUUUGUCAGCAGUAUUUCUGUUCCUAAUGUAUAAAUAUACAAAUUUUAUGAGUUGUUAAAGAUUUUUCUUUCAUUAUUGAUAAUUUGCCUAUUAACCAACAAAAAAGAAUACAAAAGGACAAACCUAUAUCCCUAACAAUGCUAUAAGCCAUCAU
Molecule: long non-coding RNA, 8191 nt
Filed under: Coffea arabica (coffee)
Lineage: Eukaryota; Viridiplantae; Streptophyta; Magnoliopsida; Gentianales; Rubiaceae
Description: long non-coding RNA (CARA_LNC000253)
Source: RNAcentral